GAUGAACGCUAGCUACAGGCUUAACACAUGCAAGUCGCGGGGUAACAUCUGGUAGAGCUUGCUCUUCCAGGAUGACGACCGGCGCACGGGUGAGUAACGCGUAUCCAACCUGGCCCAUACCACGGGAUAGCCCGUCGAAAGGCGGAUUAAUACCGUAUGCUGUCAUUAAGAUGCAUAUAUUGAUGACGAAAGGACUGGCGGUAUGGGAUGGGGAUGCGUCUGAUUAGCUUGUUGGCGGGGUAACGGCCCACCAAGGCGACGAUCAGUAGGGGUUCUGAGAGGAAGGUCCCCCACAUUGGAACUGAGACACGGUCCAAACUCCUACGGGAGGCAGCAGUGAGGAAUAUUGGUCAAUGGGCGCAAGCCUGAACCAGCCAAGUAGCGUGAGGGAAGACUGCCCUACGGGUUGUAAACCUCUUUGUUUGGGAAUAAAGUGCGGGACGUGUCCCGCAUUGCAUGUACCAUUUGAAUAAGGACCGGCUAAUCCGUGCCAGCAGCCG
This 500-nucleotide ribosomal RNA is filed under the name uncultured bacterium. RNAcentral describes it as "bacterial SSU rRNA". It matches the Rfam family "Bacterial small subunit ribosomal RNA", at positions 28 to 517 of the family's 1533-position model. The record is from RNAcentral.